This 202-nucleotide long non-coding RNA is filed under the name Nicotiana benthamiana. RNAcentral's name for it is "long non-coding RNA (NBEN_LNC028850)". Lineage: Eukaryota; Viridiplantae; Streptophyta; Magnoliopsida; Solanales; Solanaceae. The record is from RNAcentral.
CUCAAUUAUCCCAUUUUUGGCAGCACACACACAUCUAUGCCCAUGAUUUGUGCACAUUGUGCCCAAUUCAUCCCACAAGCCUUUGAGCUUGUUGAAGUAAGAGACUAUAUCUAAGGAGCCUUGAGAUGUGUGGGAAAGUUCCCUCUUUAAUCCAAAGAUAUUGGUCUUGUUAGGGGUACCAUAUCUUUUCUCAAUUUGGGAC